Molecule: long non-coding RNA, 402 nt
Filed under: Panax ginseng (ginseng)
Lineage: Eukaryota; Viridiplantae; Streptophyta; Magnoliopsida; Apiales; Araliaceae
Description: long non-coding RNA (PGIN_LNC014271)
Source: RNAcentral
UUCCCGUGCUUCCUUCAACGCCUUGAGCAUCUCUAGGUGCAUAACAUUUGUCUGCUCUUCACUUUCUUCCUCGCUUGGCCUUCGCGCGCCUGUCUGCCUGACAUUCGUUGGUUGUUGAUUAGCCAUGUAUAGUAUGUUGAACUUCCUUCCGAAGCGUCUUCAAGGAUGGGUUGAUCGAGAUUUAGAUUCACGCCUUGGAAAGCUUGACUUGUUUGCCUUGGAACUGGAUCUGGUGAGAUAAUGCUAUUUGUUGGUGAAGCUCUUCCUAUUGUUCUCCCACUUCGAGUUAUGGGCAUACCCUUCACGAAUUCUACACCUCCCUAGCAGAAUCGCCAAAGAAAUGUGGGCAAGGAAAUUGUACCUUGCUAGGGUUAGGGUUUUGUGUUGGCUGAGGAUGAGAGA